This 646-nucleotide small RNA is filed under the name Cistanche sp. NA-2017a. Its description in RNAcentral is "eukaryotic LSU rRNA". The stretch from base 254 to 409 matches the Rfam family "5.8S ribosomal RNA". The record is from RNAcentral. Lineage: Eukaryota; Viridiplantae; Streptophyta; Magnoliopsida; Lamiales; Orobanchaceae.
CCGUAGGUGAACCUGCGGAAGGAUCAUUGUCGUAUCCUGUAAAAGCAGACCGUGAACAUGUUUAACCACAUUGGGAAUGUGGCGCCGGGAAUCUCUCGUCGCAUCCCUUCCCUGUACGCGCUCACCAUGGUUGGCGUUGUGCGGGCUAACAAACCCCGGCGCGGAAUGCGCCAAGGACUACUCAUGAAUUAUCCACUUCCCUGGCCACAUUUGCGGUGAGUUGGGGGAGAGGAUGAAUCUCCAAUGUCAAAACGACUCUCGACAACGGAUAUCUCGGCUCUCGCAUCGAUGAAGAACGUAGCGAAAUGCGAUACUUGGUGUGAAUUGCAGAAUCCCGUGAACCAUCGAGUCUUUGAACGCAAGUUGCGCCCAAAGCCUUUUGGCCUAGGGCACGUCUGCUUGGGCGUCACGCAUCGCGUCGCCCCUCUCCCGUCCCUUUGGGGGAUGGUUAGGUGGGGGCGGAUAAUGGCCUCCCGUGCAUUAUGAUGUGCGGCCGGCCCAAAUGAGAUCCCGCGGCGACUCAUGUCACGACAAGUGGUGGUUGAACUCAACUCUCGUGUUGUCGUGUCGUUUUGGCGUUGUGUGGCGGGUAAUGUCGCAUAUUACCCCAUAGUGCGAUCUAUUUGUGCUUUCGACGGUGACCCCA